This 200-nucleotide long non-coding RNA is filed under the name Panax ginseng (ginseng). Its description in RNAcentral is "long non-coding RNA (PGIN_LNC018540)". Lineage: Eukaryota; Viridiplantae; Streptophyta; Magnoliopsida; Apiales; Araliaceae. The record is from RNAcentral.
AGGAUGUUUUCUGUGCGGUUUUCCGAUCUGUGUAAUUUUCAUAGCAUAGAUUAUCUUUUAAAUGCUCAGAUGGAUGUUUGUCCUCUGUUCCAGUUCCUUUCAAUUUGGGUUAUUCUUAUAUUUUCGUUUUCGAUCUGGUGAUGUGAUUGGCUUUAUUGACCUAGAAAAUCUCUUAUCUAUAUUUUCGUUUUCGAUCUGGG